AGAGUUUGAUCCUGGCUCAGAUUGAACGCUGGCGGCAUGCCUUACACAUGCAAGUCGAACGGCAGCACGGGGGCAACCCUGGUGGCGAGUGGCGAACGGGUGAGUAAUACAUCGGAACGUGUCCUUUCGUGGGGGAUAACCAGUCGAAAGACUGGCUAAUACCGCAUGAGAUCUCACGAUGAAAGCGAGGGACCGCAAGGCCUCGCGCGAUUGGAGCGGCCGAUGUCGGAUUAGCUAGUUGGCGGGGUAAAAGCCCACCAAGGCGACGAUCCGUAGCUGGUUUGAGAGAACGACCAGCCACACUGGGACUGAGACACGGCCCAGACUCCUACGGGAGGCAGCAGUGGGGAAUUUUGGACAAUGGGCGCAACCCUGAUCCAGCGACGCCGCGUGUGUGAAGAAGGCCUGCGGGUUGUAAAGCACUUUCGGUGGGAACGAAAUAUGCCGGGCUAAUACCCCGGUAGGCUGACGUACUCAAUAAGAGACCC
Molecule: ribosomal RNA, 488 nt
Filed under: uncultured Derxia sp.
Lineage: Bacteria; Pseudomonadati; Pseudomonadota; Betaproteobacteria; Burkholderiales; Alcaligenaceae
Description: bacterial SSU rRNA
Rfam family: Bacterial small subunit ribosomal RNA
Source: RNAcentral